UUUUUGCAAAUACCUUGUUGAUAUUUUACUGAUUGAAUUAACGUUUUCUGCAUUAUUGUCCAGGUAAUUAUUUGUUCUCUGGAUUUAAAAGCUAUCCAUGCAAUCUGACAAUAUGUUGACAUUGUUCCUGAAAAACAGAAAUAUGAUAAGUUGGUGAAGUUGCCGGAGGACAUAAUGGAUGGCGGCAGAAUAAUGAUCUUCAUGGAUGCCAAGAAAUGAGGUGAUCAGAUAACAAGGCAACUCCGUAUGGAUGGUUGGCCUUCACUUUCAAUUCACGGAGACAAAAGUCAAGCAGAAAGGGAUUGGGUGUUCUCAGAGUUUAGAUCUGGAAAGAGUCCUAUCAUGACUGCAAUAUAUGUUGCAGCUCGUGGUCUAGGUUUGCAGACUGCUUAAUCAAAUAUUUAAUGAAUUUACUUUUUGGCUCUAGUUGUAAAGCUAGUCAGUGCUUUUCUGAAGGGAAAGUAUUGACAUUGAAUACGCAACUGUUGGCGUUCGCGCGCACAUAUAUAUGUACAUUAAGUACUAAUUCUGUUUCUGUUUCAUCAUCCUCUUGUCCUUCCAUUUCGGGCCAUCCAUAAUUACUAAAUUUUGUGUUGAAAUACUAUUGCCAACCAUUUUAACUGUAACUUGUCAGGUCAUGAUCAUAAACUUCCUCUUUCCUAUGCCUGUAAUUUAUUUAGUGUCUACAACAAAUAGUCUAGCGUUAGCUUGGUGUGGUAUAUUUCCUUAUAUAUGCUGUUGGCUUGCUGUCUCAUCUAUACAACUUUUUGUGAUCGAUAAAUCUUCUGCUUGAUUUAACUGCCUUCUCAAAAGGGAAUUGCAUUCUGCCACGGGUGACCAACCAUCCAUCUCAUUUCAUUUUAGAGUCAUUCAUAACUUUGUUGUUUCAGUGGCAAAAUCCAACUCUCUUUGACAUAUGGCUUCAACUUUUAUGGUUCAAAUCAUUGAAUUUUGUCCUAUGUGCCUAUCAAUCUGACCUUGCACCCAUAGAAAACAAAAUCAGUCUGUGGUUGUCUUAGAAAAACUCUUUGCACAGUGGCUGUGUAUCCUGAUCCUUUCCGUGGUCUGGGAUGCUGCAGAUGUGAAGGACGUGAAGUAUGUAAUAAAACUAUGACUUCCCAGAAUCCCUGGAAGACUAUGUUCAUCGCAUUGGUUGAACUGGCAGGGCUGGUGCAAAAGGAACUGCACACACAUUCUUCACAGCUGCUAAUGCCAGAUUUGCCGAGGAACUUAUAGCCAUACUUGAGGAAGCUGGACAGAAAGUGAGUUCUGAAUUGGCCAGCAAUGGAACGUGGUGCACCUCCUCCACCUUCAGGCUACGGAGGCUUCCGAGACCGCGGAAGGGGUUAUGGUAGCGGUCGUACAUGAGCUGAUUGAUGAAUACGGAAAGCGAGUUGAGAGACUAACGGAGAAAACCCCAACAAACACGUGGCUUGAUAUUACUAUUGACACCUGUCUUACGGACUAUGUUGACUUGUAAAAGCAGUGAUAGGAAUUCAGUUUUUCCCCAAUUUUAGUUGCACAAUUUUUCCUUUUGGGUUCAAAUUUGCUUCUUUCAAAAUCAAAUGUCCGUAAAGCGUGUAGAGGCCAUUUAUUUAUGUAGCAUCAAGCUUUUGUUUAUAGUUUAUACCUAGUAGUUCAUGCCAACACUUGAUGAAGACAAGGUUGUCGUUAAAUCUUUCAGGUGCAAGAUCUAUUCCAAAAAGAAUAGCCAUUACAUUCAUGUGUGCUAAAAUUGAU
Molecule: long non-coding RNA, 1740 nt
Organism: Prosopis cineraria
Lineage: Eukaryota; Viridiplantae; Streptophyta; Magnoliopsida; Fabales; Fabaceae
Exons: 3
Source: RefSeq, a predicted model, not a curated record